UUUUUAGAAUCAUGGGUACAGAUGCCUGAUUGUUGCCUGUGUUUAGAUUCUUUGCAAACUUCUAAAUAACAUAUAGAGUAUCAAAAAGGCUUUAGUAAUAGACUGUUCUUAUAAUCUUGCUCCAAAGUACAUUAGAAACCAAAUGACCUGUACUUUCUAUGAAACAAUGAGCUAGGCCUAGAAAUAAGACCUAAGUCGCAUGUGGGCAGGCAGAGCCGCAGGAGACCAAGACUGGACAGCACAAAGGGCACAGGCUGGUGUGCAUUCCUGCUAGAAACUGGAAGCCGAGGCCCAUUGCCUUGGGCUACAGAGUUUCAGUGGAGCAGUUCAAAAUGAUACUAGGCAUCAUUGUAGCUCCAGCAAUGCCCUCUAAAAGUGAUCUGAGACGAUUAAGACCGAAGGAGACUGCAUGAGACCGAAUGGGACCACACCUGCCAAGCACACGCUGCUCUCUGCCCAGAUUCCCAGUGCCCUGACCACUUAGGAUGCAGACCAAGUCCUGAGUGCCAAGGAGGGGAGAAGUGCGGGCUUGAAUUCCCUUUGGUUUUGAGUAUACACUACUUGAAAACACAUGCAGCAUCAAGAGUCAAUGUAAGUAAACACCUUCAGGGCUAUGUAAUUGCUAUCUGUAUAGAAUGGACUUUCAGGGGUCAUUAAAGAGACCACCAAAUCCCCAGGAAAGCCACGUCUGCCUGUUGAUUUAGAGUCACUCAGUCACCAAACAGGAAUGACAAGGAAAGCAGACCCGUCAGUCACAUUCCAAGUCAUGCUCAGUCGCUGCCUGCUGCUUUCUCCUCCUAGUAGUAGGCCAGGAGCUGAAGCUGAGCAAAGCUGCAGAGGAGGCAUCUGGGUGGAGCAGCUGGCUCUAGGAUGCUGCACAGGAGCUGAAGGAACAAAACAGUGCUUCCUGUUUACACAGUCUGAAUCCAGACUCAAAAGUCCCAGUUUGAGAAGUAUCUCGGACUCUAGAGUGCUGGGAUUAAAGACAUGAGGCACUUCACCCAGCUCAAAACCCUGAAAUUGGAAGCUAACUGCUGAGCAUCAAGGACUACACGAGUGGUGAGACACUCACUGUUACAAUAUGGUGACAGUCAGGAAGAUGAAGGCUAAUCAGAACAGGGACUCCAGGGAGGCUGCAAUUCUACUGCCAGCUUUCGGAUCUCUCUGCCCAGCCAUCCUAACUCCCCGGAUUCUCUCUGCUUCCUCAUCUGUUGUAGCCUAGAAAUAAAUAAUCUUGUCACUGUAACUCAGAGAUCUGGGAUUAGACUGAAUGUGACUUCCGCUGUGCAGCCAAACUGAAGUGGAUCUCCCUUUCACCUCGGCCGCGUGACGGCUUAGUCACUAAGGGCUGGUCGGUGAAUCUUUAACUGAUGAUUUACAUCACUGUCUAUUUAAGCUCGGGAAGUCAAAUAAAUGUGAAGGGCUGGCAUCAUGACAUGCCAAGGCAUGGCAAGUGGGUGGAAUUACUUUUCUUCCAUAUAUGGGAAAGCCUGUAUGUUCAAGUCUGUGAGACAUUCAGUAACCAAGAAUAUUUCUCUAAUAAGCAGUUGUGCAAGGCUGCAUGUCUGAAUGUGCACAUGACAUUCCCUGUAAAUGGCAGCCGCAGGGGAAGAGCAUCCAACAUGCGGAGUUUGUGUGCACUCCGACUGUCUGUACAUACAGUCUCAAUUGCAUGAGAAAGUCUUCAGGAACUCUGGCCACACCUACAGACCCAUAGGACAUAUCAACUGUGGCUAUGGGGUCUCCUUGACCAAGGUCAUCACCACCUAAAAGCAGCUGGUGGAAAAAGAUAGACUACUGCAUUUAAAAACCAAAUGGAGAGAUGCGCUCUGCCAGGGGUCGGUGAAGUAUCCCAAGAUGGCUGGGCAAAUUAAUAAAAAAGUUUUUAACACGUA
Molecule: long non-coding RNA, 1895 nt
Organism: Mastomys coucha (southern multimammate mouse)
Lineage: Eukaryota; Metazoa; Chordata; Mammalia; Rodentia; Muridae
Exons: 4
Source: RefSeq, a predicted model, not a curated record